Molecule: ribosomal RNA, 408 nt
Filed under: uncultured bacterium
Lineage: Bacteria
Description: partial 16S ribosomal RNA
Rfam family: Bacterial small subunit ribosomal RNA
Source: RNAcentral
GACGAACGCUGGCGGCGUGCUUAACACAUGCAAGUCGAACGAAGUGGCGAACGGGUGAGUAACGCGUAAUCAACCUGCCCUUCAGAGGGGGACAACAGUUUGAAACGACUGCUAAUACCGCAUACUGAUGGUGGGGAUUGCGUCUGAUUAGCUAGUUGGAGGGGUAACGGCCCACCAAGGCGAUGCUCAUAAGCCGGUCUGAGAGGAUGGACGGCCAAAUUGGGACUGAGACAAGGCCCAGAGUCCUACGGGAGGGAGCAGGGGGGAAUCUUCCGCAAUGGAGGAAAGUCUGACGGAGCAACGCCGCGUGAGUGAUGAAGGCCUUCGGGUUGUAAAGCUCUGUUAAUCGGGACGCGGUACCGGAAUAGAAAGCCACGGCUAACUACGUGCCAGCAGCCGCGGUAAUAC